This 759-nucleotide ribosomal RNA is filed under the name uncultured bacterium. RNAcentral describes it as "bacterial SSU rRNA". It matches the Rfam family "Bacterial small subunit ribosomal RNA", at positions 79 to 841 of the family's 1533-position model. The record is from RNAcentral.
GCUGGAUGCUGACGAGCGGCGGACGGGUGAGUAAUGCAUAGGAAUCGGCCCGAUAGUGGGGGAUAACCUGGGGAAACCCAGGCUAAUACCGCAUACGUCCUACGGGAGAAAGGGGGCGCCGGCUCCCGCUAUGGGAUGAGCCUAUGUCGGAUUAGCUGGUUGGUGAGGUAACGGCUCACCAAGGCCACGAUCCGUAGCUGGUCUGAGAGGAUGAUCAGCCACAUCGGGACUGAGACACGGCCCGAACUCCUACGGGAGGCAGCAGUGGGGAAUAUUGGACAAUGGGGGAAACCCUGAUCCAGCCAUGCCGCGUGUGUGAAGAAGGCCCUCGGGUUGUAAAGCACUUUCAGCGAGGAAGAACGCCUAGCGGUUAAUACCCGCUAGGAAAGACAUCACUCGCAGAAGAAGCACCGGCUAACUCCGUGCCAGCAGCCGCGGUAAUACGGAGGGUGCAAGCGUUAAUCGGAAUUACUGGGCGUAAAGCGCGCGUAGGUGGCUUGAUAAGCCGGUUGUGAAAGCCCCGGGCUCAACCUGGGAACGGCAUCCGGAACUGUCAAGCUAGAGUGCAGGAGAGGAAGGUAGAAUUCCCGGUGUAGCGGUGAAAUGCGUAGAGAUCGGGAGGAAUACCAGUGGCGAAAGCGGCCUUCUGGACUGACACUGACACUGAGGUGCGAAAGCGUGGGUAGCAGACAGGAUUAGAUACCCUGGUAGUCCACGCCGUACACGAUGUCGACCAGCCGUUGGGUGCCUAGCGCACUU